CUUCCAUCAUGGUUUGUCCUAAGAGACUGGGUAUAGUCCCCUGUGCUGUACAGUAGGGUCUCAUUGCUAAUCUAUUCUAAAUGUAAUUGUUUGCAUCUAUUUUAAAUAUAUAUUAAUCAAAACUGUCCACAAAAAUGCAGAAACAUGUGACCUGUUCAAACUGAACAUUCUGUACCUAAGUAGUAGCUAUUUAUCUGUGAUAAUAAUCUUGUUGGGAUGUUUGACUUCCUAAGUUAGAAAUAAAAAAUAUUUUCUAAAACUCGUCUUACAGGUAAAAGAAUAUCCUAUUUCUACAUUUGUAUCUGAAAUCAGCGUGUAAUUUUCCGCCCACAUGGAUGAGUGCCAACUUUUGCAUUUCCAGUGCAUAUCCUACGACCAUUCUCCCUGGGCAAGCCAUUCAUCUUUUUAGAACAUCCUUCAAAGAGUUCAUGCGUCUUACCGAGGACACCUGACCUUUUGAAGCCUCAUAAUUCACAUCUAGAUGUCACCGGUCUUUCCCAUGUUAACAGUUCUGACUAUGUUUUAUUAUAUGUGCCUUCGGCGCCGAGCCAGGAUAGCUACACGAGGAGAAAUAAUGAACAGCCAUAGGACUAUAGAAUCAAACAGCCGGGCUUCCCCUCUCAAUGCAGAGGUGGUCCAGUAUGCCAAAGAAGUGGUUGAUUUCAGCUCCCAUUAUGGGAGUGAGAAUAGCAUGUCCUAUACCAUGUGGAACUUAGCAGGUGUCCCAAACGUGUUCCCAAGUUCUGGUGACUUCACUCAGACGGCUGUGUUUCGAACUUACGGAACGUGGUGGGACCAGUGUCCUAGUGCUUCUGUACCGUUCAAGAGGACGCCACCUAACUUUCAGAGCCAAGACUACGUGGAACUUGCUUUUGAACAGCAGGUGUAUCCCACAGCUGUUCACGUUCUGGAAACUUACCAUCCUGGAGCAGUCAUUAGAAUUCUAGCUUGUUCUGCAAAUCCCUAUUCCCCAAGUCCACCAGCGGAAGUCAGAUGGGAGAUUCUUUGGUCAGAGAAACCUACGAAGGUGAAUGCUUCCCAGGCUCGCCAGUUUAAACCUUGUAUUAAGCAGAUAAAUUUCCCCACAAAUCUUAUACGGCUGGAAGUAAAUAGUUCUCUUCUGGAUUAUUACACUGAAUUAGAUGCAGUUGUAUUACAUGGUGUGAAGGACAAGCCACUGCUUUCUCUCAAGACUUCACUUAUUGACAUGAAUGAUCUAGAUGAAGAUGACUAUGAAGAAAAGGAUGGUUGUGGAAUGGACAAUCUGAACAAAAAGUUUAGCAGUAUUGCCCUCAGGGAAGGGCCAAGUAAUGGAUAUUUUGAUAAACUACCUUAUGAGUUAAUUCAACUUUUCAAAAAUCACUUACUUUUGCCACACUGCUGCAGAGAGCGCAGUACAUGCAAGGGGGUUAAUCAAUACAAGUGUAGCCCUGUAAAAUAUAUAUAUAUAUAUAAGAAAACUUUCUGGGCAAAAGUGAGAGAUACUGCAUUGCUGUUUAUGACGAGUAAAUGCAGAUUAAAUCAUUUAUUCAUUCUAGCUACUACAGCUGGCAAAGGACACAUUAGUGAGACAGGGUUUGCUUUGUUUCUGAAGGUCUGUGGAUCUGAAUUAGUACGCCUUGAAUUAUCUUGCAGCCAUUUCCUUAAUGAAACUUGCUUGGAGAUUAUUUCUGAGAUGUGUCCAAAUCUACAGGACUUAAAUCUCUCAUCCUGUGAUAAACUACCACCUCAGGCUUUCAACCACAUUGCCAAAUUAUGCGGCCUUAAACGACUCAUUCUCUAUCGAACAAAAGUAGAGCAAACAGGCCUGCUCAGCAUUUUGAACUUCUGCUCAGAGCUUCAGCACCUCAGUUUGGGUAGUUGUGUCAUGAUUGAG
Molecule: long non-coding RNA, 1876 nt
Filed under: Sus scrofa (pig)
Lineage: Eukaryota; Metazoa; Chordata; Mammalia; Artiodactyla; Suidae
Description: lncRNA (ENSSSCG00025050847.1)
Source: RNAcentral